RNAcentral lists this ribosomal RNA (468 nucleotides) under uncultured bacterium. Its description in RNAcentral is "partial 16S ribosomal RNA". It matches the Rfam family "Bacterial small subunit ribosomal RNA", at positions 28 to 507 of the family's 1533-position model. The record is from RNAcentral.
GACGAACGCUGGCGGCGUGCUUAACACAUGCAAGUCGAACGGAAAGGCCCUGCUUUUGUGGGGUGCUCGAGUGGCGAACGGGUGAGUAACACGUGAGUAACCUGCCCUUGACUUUGGGAUAACUUCAGGAAACUGGGGCUAAUACCGGAUAGGAGCUCCUGCUGCAUGGUGGGGGUUGGAAAGUUUCGGCGGUUCGGGAUGGACUCGCGGCUUAUCAGCUUGUUGGUGGGGUAGUGGCUUACCAAGGCUUUGACGGGUAGCCGGCCUGAGAGGGUGACCGGCCACAUUGGGACUGAGAUACGGACCAGACUCCUACGGGAGGCAGCAGUGGAGAAUAUUGCACAAUGGGCGGAAGCCUGAUGCAGCAACGCCGCGUGCGGGAUGACGGCCUUCGGGUUGUAAACCGCUUUCGCCUGUGACGAAGCGUGAGUGACGGUAAUGGGUAAAGAAGCACCGGCUAACUACGUG